CUUGAUCCCUGGGAGAAAACAAGGACUCGGAGCUCCGGGGAGCAUCUGUACAGAAUAAAGACUCACUCCAUCCCGAUGAGCUCCGCCCUCCUGCCCACCUGCCUGCUGGGAAGGGGGCCACUCACUUAUCCAGCUUGUGGAUCUGCUCCUCAUUGUAGCUGAGCCCUGAAGGAAACAGAUGGGGAUGGCGUCACCACUCAACUAGUCCGGGAACCAAGUUAAAAAAGAUGAACACAGCCUAGGGUGGGGACCAUUUUAUGGGAUCUCAGGCCUAGGGGAGCCCGCGGGGAUGAGGAAAUGGAACAUCAAGUAACUAUGACAACAUUGCUGUUGUGGACAAAAGACUGAAUAUGAUUUUGGUAAAAAGGAGCUGAGGAGAAAUGCUAUGGGGCUCCAGAGCGAAGUGAACCUGCUGGGUGGGCGGGUGUGUGUACAGGAGAUGUUGCAGGUGGUAACUCUGGGUGAGACAGUCCUCAAGGAUGUUAGCGAAGCUUUGGCCCUGCAUCCUCCACCCUCCCCAGCUGGCAGCUGGUUGACUCCAUCCCUGGAGUCUCUCACAGGUAGGCCACCACCUUCUAACUGUCCCUCUUUGCCCAGCAGCUCUUUUCAGAAGGAACGACUUUGGGUAGAAGUGCUCUUGCCUAGAUCGAGGCUACUGCCAAAGACCAUAAUGCUCUUGCAAUGA
Molecule: long non-coding RNA, 685 nt
Filed under: Mus pahari (shrew mouse)
Lineage: Eukaryota; Metazoa; Chordata; Mammalia; Rodentia; Muridae
Description: predicted gene 28914 (MGP_PahariEiJ_G0003641.1)
Source: RNAcentral